Molecule: ribosomal RNA, 229 nt
Filed under: uncultured bacterium
Lineage: Bacteria
Description: partial 16S ribosomal RNA
Rfam family: Bacterial small subunit ribosomal RNA
Source: RNAcentral
UACGUAGGCGGGAAAUUAAGUCAGUAGUGAAAUCCCACAGCUUAACUGUGGAACUGUUAUUGAUACUGGUUUACUUGAAUAUAGUUGAGGUAGGCGGAAUGUGUAAUGUAGCGGUAAAAUGCUUAGAUAUUACACAGAACACCGAUUGCGAAGGCAGCUUACUAAGCUAUGAUUGACGCUGAGGUACGAAGGCGUGGGUAGCGAACAGGAUUAGAUACCCUGGUAGUCC